Molecule: ribosomal RNA, 253 nt
Filed under: uncultured bacterium
Lineage: Bacteria
Description: partial 16S ribosomal RNA
Rfam family: Bacterial small subunit ribosomal RNA
Source: RNAcentral
UACAGAGACUGCAAGCGUUAUUCGGAUUCACUGGGCGUAAAGGGUGCGCAGGCGGCCGUGUGUGUAAGGUGUGAAAUCCCGGGGCUCAACCCCGGAACUGCGCCUUAAACUACAUGGCUAGAGUACUGGAGAGGGUAACGGAAUUCACGGUGUAGCAGUGAAAUGCGUAGAUAUCGGGAGGAACACCAGAGGCGAAGGCGGUUACCUGGACAGUUACUGACGCUGAGGCGCGAAAGCAUGGGGAGCAAACAGG